This 73-nucleotide transfer RNA is filed under the name Methanohalobium evestigatum Z-7303. RNAcentral's name for it is "tRNA-Phe (GAA) (tRNA-Phe-GAA-1-1)". It matches the Rfam family "tRNA". Rfam says of the family: Transfer RNA (tRNA) molecules are approximately 80 nucleotides in length. Their secondary structure includes four short double-helical elements and three loops (D, anti-codon, and T loops). Further hydrogen bonds mediate the characteristic L-shaped molecular structure. tRNAs have two regions of fundamental functional importance: the anti-codon, which is responsible for specific mRNA codon recognition, and the 3' end, to which the tRNAs corresponding amino acid is attached (by aminoacyl-tRNA synthetases). tRNAs cope with the degeneracy of the genetic code in two manners: having more than one tRNA (with a specific anti-codon) for a particular amino acid; and 'wobble' base-pairing, i.e. permitting non-standard base-pairing at the 3rd anti-codon position. Lineage: Archaea; Methanobacteriati; Methanobacteriota; Methanomicrobia; Methanosarcinales; Methanosarcinaceae. The record is from Rfam by way of RNAcentral.
GCCCAGAUAGCUCAGUAGGGAGAGCGCUGCCCUGAAGAGGCAGUUGUCCCCGGUUCAAGUCCGGGUCUGGGCA